Long non-coding RNA from Etheostoma spectabile (orangethroat darter), 131 nucleotides. RefSeq lists it as uncharacterized. NCBI's taxonomy places the organism in Eukaryota, Metazoa, Chordata, Actinopteri, Perciformes, Percidae. The transcript has 3 exons. The record is from RefSeq and is a predicted model, not a curated record.
UGUGCUUUUAUACAUAAUUUAUCUUUUUGUUACUUCUCUAGUUGUACCCCGAACCAAAUUUACACACUGUUUAUUUAGUUUAGCUAUCAUUUUGUGAGAUGGAGGAAAGAUAUUUGGAUAAGAGAAAGUUG